ACAACAAAAUUAAGGAACAUUAAUUAUUAUCAAUUAAGAUAUGGAAACAAUAUCAGCAGCUAUCACAAAAAACAGUGCCAAUGAAUCAUUCUGUUUGAUUCAUGCUAAGAAUAAUAACAUGAAAGUGAAUGAAGCUGAUCCUUUGAAUUGGGGUGUGGCAGCUGAAGCAAUGAAAGGCAGUCACUUGGAUGAAGUGAAACGUAUGGUGGAGGAGUACCGGAAGCCGGUGGUCCGUCUUGGUGGCGAAACACUGACCAUUUCUCAGGUGGCUGCCAUUGCUGCACAUGACCAUGGUGUGCAGGUGGAGCUGUCAGAAUCUGCUAGGGCUGGUGUUGAGGCCAGCAGUGAUUGGGUGAUGGAGAGUAUGAACAAAGGAACAGACAGUUACGGUGUCACCACCGGAUUCGGCGCCACCUCACACCGCCGUACCAAACAAGGUGGUGCUUUGCAGAAAGAACUCAUCAGGUAUUAUUCUUCAUUUGCACAUAUAUUUUUUUUUUUAAUGAAACAUACGUUUCAUAUAUACGUUUUUUCUUUCUUAAUUUGCAUAUCUCAAUCUGCAACUUUUAAGUUUAAAUUAUUCCUUUGAUUUAAACUUUUAAUUAUUAACAAUCACUUAAAAGUUAAUCCUGCAUUUCAUAUAUAAAAUCAAUAAAUUCAAUAUAUCUCAUAUAUUUUUUUCUUCAAAAUUUUAUCCUUAUUUUGCUGGAUUGCUAUGAUCUACUAUCAUUUGUAACCUUCCGUAAAAAAAUUAAAAAAAAACUAUUUGCAACGUUUUUGGUACAUCUAUUUGUAACUUUUAAUUGGUCAAUAAAUAAUAAAAAAAAUGUAACUUGUCAACGUCCUGCUUUAAAAUAAAAACAAGUGGUAGGGUAUUCUAAAUUUCUAACCACUUACUAUUAAUUCAUAUAUGUACUUGCGUUUUAAAUUUAGGAGAAUGUUAUGAUUUUAUUUUUUUUAAGAUUUAUUUAAAUGUGCAACUUGUUAGGUUACUUCUUUUAAAAAAUAUGAAAGUUUAACAAGUAACAUUUUUUAGGGGUAGCAAGAAUACAGAAGAAAAUAAAUGGUUCUGAUGCUUAUUCUGCUUGUUUUUCAGAUUUUUGAAUGCUGGAAUAUUUGGAAAAGGAAGUGAGUCAAGCCACACACUUCCACACACAGCAACAAGAGCUGCCAUGCUAGUGAGAAUCAACACACUCCUCCAAGGUUAUUCAGGAAUCAGAUUUGAAAUCUUGGAAGCCAUCACCAAUCUCCUUAACAACAACGUCACUCCAUGUUUACCACUUCGCGGUACAAUCACAGCUUCAGGAGAUUUGGUCCCUCUAUCUUACAUUGCUGGUUUACUAACUGGAAGACCAAAUUCCAAAGCUCAUGGACCAUCUGGAGAAAUACUUAAUGCAAAAGAAGCUUUUAAAUUGGCUGGAAUCAAUGCUGAAUUCUUAGAAUUACAACCAAAAGAAGGCCUUGCACUUGUUAACGGAACAGCUGUUGGUUCCGGUUUAGCUUCAAUUGUUCUCUUCGAGGCUAACAUUUUGGCUGUGUUGUCUGAAGUUCUAUCAGCUAUUUUUGCUGAAGUUAUGCAAGGGAAACCUGAGUUUACCGAUCAUUUGACACACAAGUUGAAACACCACCCUGGUCAAAUUGAGGCUGCUGCUAUUAUGGAACACAUUUUGGAUGGAAGUGCUUAUGUCAAAGCAGAUAAAAAGUUGCAUGAGAUGGAUCCAUUGCAGAAACCAAAACAAGAUAGAUAUGCGCUUAGAACUUCACCACAAUGGCUUGGUCCUUUGGUUGAAGUGAUUAGAUUCUCUACCAAGUCAAUUGAGAGAGAGAUCAACUCUGUCAACGACAACCCCUUGAUUGAUGUUUCAAGAAACAAAGCUUUGCAUGGUGGAAACUUUCAAGGAACGCCUAUUGGAGUAUCCAUGGAUAAUACACGUUUGGCUCUCGCAUCAAUUGGCAAACUUAUGUUUGCUCAAUUCUCUGAGCUUGUCAAUGAUUUUUACAACAAUGGAUUGCCUUCAAAUCUUUCUGCGAGUAGAAAUCCUAGUUUGGAUUAUGGUUUCAAGGGAGCUGAAAUUGCCAUGGCUUCCUAUUGUUCUGAGUUGCAAUAUCUUGCAAAUCCGGUUACAACCCACGUCCAAAGUGCCGAGCAGCACAACCAAGAUGUGAACUCUUUGGGUUUGAUUUCUUCGAGAAAAACAUAUGAAGCCAUUGAGAUCCUUCAACUCAUGUCUUCCACAUUCUUGAUUGCUCUUUGCCAAGCAAUUGAUUUAAGACAUUUGGAGGAGAACUUGAAAAACUCAGUCAAGAACACCGUAAGUCAAGUCGCCAAAAAGACCCUUACCAUAGGCGUGAAUGGAGAACUUCAUCCUUCAAGAUUUUGUGAAAAAGACUUAUUGAAAGUGGUUGAUAGAGAGCAUGUAUUUGCUUAUAUUGAUGAUCCUUGUAGUGCUACAUACCCAUUGAGUCAAAAACUCAGGCAAGUGUUGGUAGAUCAUGCAUUAGUUAAUGGAGAGAGUGAGAAGAAUUUGAACACUUCAAUCUUUCAAAAGAUUGCAACUUUUGAGGAAGAGUUGAAGAGCCUCUUGCCAAAAGAGGUUGAAAGUGCAAGGACCGCAUAUGAGAGUGGAAACCCAACAAUUCCAAACAAGAUCAAUGGAUGCAGAUCUUAUCCACUUUACAAGUUUGUUAGAGAGGAGUUGGGAACUGGUUUACUAACUGGAGAAAAUGUCAUUUCACCCGGUGAAGUGUGUGACAAAUUAUUCACAGCUAUGUGUCAGGGAAAAAUCAUUGAUCCUCUUCUUGAAUGCUUGGGAGAGUGGAACGGUGCUCCUCUUCCAAUUUGUUAACUUUGUUGGUUAAUUAUGAAAAUGCUUUAUUUGUUGUAUUUUAUACAAGUGUAUCAAAAAUCAUGUAGGUUUUUCAAGCCUUUAACAAAUUAAUAUGGAAAGCUCAAAGCUCCAGUUCAGUUUCCUCUAAUAUCACGGUGAAACUUGUAAUUUAUUUAAUAAUAGAUUUUUAUUUGUUUGCCGGAAUUUUUAGUGCAAUUGUGCAACUAUAUAAAUAAAAUAGCUUUUCUCCAAACAAAAAUAGCUUUAAUGUUAAUCAUACUUUAUGAGAGUUAACUUAAAAUCAGAAUUCUGAAGAAUCGUGCCACGAUGAAGAAGCUUCGUGCCACGAUUGUUGAAGCAAAAUUCUGGAGCAAUCACUGGAAAAAUCGUGUCACGAUUGGAUCGAAUCGUGCCACGAUGGUGCGAUUGAAGAUAAAAAUAAAACAUAUUUUUAUUGAAGAUUUGUUUCAGUUUUUUAAGGGAUUACUUUCACUAUAAAUAUAAACCUUGUUUCAUAGCAAACUUUGAGAGGGACAGAGGGGGCUGAAACAAGGGUUUAGAAAGGCAACAACAAAACUAGGGUUUGUAUAGAGUUUGUCUCUUAGAAACAAACACUAGGGUUUGUGGGUUGAUUUACUUUGGAAAACACUAUUAGGAUUGAGUCUCUUAGUUACGGGAAGAGGCUGGGACUUUGGGUAGAAUUAGGCGGGAGACUUAUUCUUGUAACCUAUUGAUUUCUCUUUUGUAACGUUACUCAUCAUAUAGUGGAUCGAAGGGCUGCUCUCUCCCCCAGACUAGGUCAAUUUGGACCGAACUGGGUCAACAAAUUCUUUUGUGUUCUUCUUUUCUUUGUGUUCUUCUCGCCGUUUUUUUUUCUAUUUUUGGCUUGUAUUUAAUUGUUUCAUACACUUUGUUUUGGUUGCUUGAUUAUCCCUUGCUCCACACAUCAAGUUGUUAUUGAUGUGAUUCUCAUCGAAUUCACAACAUACUUUCUUAAAAGUCAUUUUAGUCUCCAAGUAUAUAGUUAGUAGUUAAUUAACCAUUCUAAUACCCUAAUACACAUGUUCCCUUUGAGAACAAGCCACACAAAAAAAAAAAAAACGGGUCACAACAAAUAAGGAAGAGAAACUCGUUUGUACUUGAGCGAGAGUGUUGGAAAUUAGGAAGUCCCAUAAACUAUCGGGGACUUCUAUCGUAUAUUCACAAUUUUGAGUGUACCGGUACUCUUGUUUUACAAAAUAUAUAAAUUAACGAUCACUUUAAUGAAAUAAAAAGGUAUUUGUCAAUAUUUAUAUUUUAGAAAACAUCAUUUCAUAAGAAAAAUCACCAUUUCAUUGUUUAUAAGGAUCAUACUAAAAAAUUUACAUUUUGUCAUAAAAAUUAAUCAAAAUUCAUUGUUAUGAGUAAUAAAAGUUCUUAAAAAUUAAAUUUUAUUUCGUCGAAGCUUUUGGUAAAUAAAAUUUAAUUAUCUUAGUUGUCAAUGAUAGAAAAUAAUUAUUUUUCUUCAAAAAAACAACUCAUUUAUUAUUAAUUUUACGAAUUAGUGUAACAAUACACCCAAAUUUAUUGGAUGUACCAUAGAAUUUGCCUAAACUAUUUUUCUUUUACCGGACCACUCAUCAACCCUAUUACACUACUAAAUUUACUCUUUAGAUGAUCUAAAAUGUAAAUAACUUAUUCUAGUUAGGAACUAGUCAUUACAACAAUUAGCUAGUAUUGUGAAUUGAUUCACAAAUUGCUUCAAUCAUUAAUAAAUGGAAGCAUUUUAGAAGCCUAUUAGACAUUGGUAAAUCCAUAUUUUAUUAAUUAAAGAAACAAUUAUAAUACAAUUAAUAUAUCAUUUAAAUUAAAAAAUAUAUAUUUUAAGUAUUAGAACUCCUAAAAAGUGUUAGAUAAAUCACGCGCAAUUUAUUUUCUUUCAUUAUCAUGAAUUAAACAAGACUCUUGAGUCAUGUAUUUCAAUCACAAACUACAACAUCAACUACAUGCAUGAAUCAUUAAUAUAUCUUAUAAAUAAUAUACAUUUUCCUCUUGUUUCAUGUAUUAAAUAUGACUCUUUGAGAUCUACCAAUAUAAAAGACGACUCUUUGAGUCAUAGUCGUUCUUAAGAUUUUUCAUACACUAGGCAAACUAAAUGAAUAAUGUCUUCGUAAUCAUGUCAUUAGAGAUGUUUCCUUCGUAUUAUUUGUUGCAAUAUAAUCAACGGUAUUCUUUUUUUUUUUUUUUAGGGAAAUCAACAAUAUACUUAUAAGUAAUGUUCUUUAAGAAAAAAGUAUUUUGCUAAAAAUCAAAGCAAAACUCUUUUAUCUAAUCAGUUAAAAAAUAAAUCUCAUAAAAUUUUAAAAAUUUCAAUUUAAAAAAAUGUGAUUCAACAGACGCAAUGCUAACUAGGUUUGAUCAUACAAACAUUAGGAAAAUAAUAAAAUUUCUUUAAUGAUAUCAAUAUCGUAAAAUUUGAUUUGAAUACUAUCUUCUUUCUUUAGGUUAGCAACGCCAUCACUUAGAAAUUUUGAAUCCAUCACCUACUAACUGAAAUGGAUUUUUUUUAAAUUCUUUGAACAUCAUAUGCAAAGUACCAAAAUGUCAAAUAAACUACGGUUAUCUCAUCUACUACCAAAUUUUCUUCUAGGGUGUUCAUCCUUAUGAAUAAAAAAAUUAACUAUAUUAUAUAUAUCUAAAUCACUAAUAUUAGCACCAUCUCAAACGGAUAGAACAAAAAAUACACCAUAUACCACGGUUACAAAAUAUUCUAAACGUGAUUUGACAUCAUUAAACUACUUCCAUUUUCUCUUUCCAAAAUAACCCCUCCAAACUCCCAUCAUAUAGGGGUGGACAAUGAUCGGGUUCGGUCAGAAAUCGGUCUUAAAAUCCGAAACCAACUCACCCGACGGUUGGAAUAUUAUAGUCUGUUUCCGCCCAUACGAGUACCUCGGUUUUAGCGGUGUCGGUUUGACGGUUUUCACGGACGAUCGGGUGGAUUGUAUCGGUUUUGCAUUAAACAAAAUUUGAUAGAAAAAAAAAAUCUUCACAGUUCACACAUCAAGAAUUUUCAGAUCUAGACUAAGAAUGAAAAGAAAAAACAAAAUAAAAAUUAAAGAAAGAUGAAGAAACGUGAUUCAGAUUGCAGCCUUGCAACAUCCUCUCUUCCAUUGUCUGUAUUCACGGUAAUAAAGAGAAGGAAUUUUUAUGGAAAAUAAAUUCAAUUUGUGUGGUGUGAGGUGAAUGUUGAAUGAUGUGGAAAACAUAAUCAAUUUGUGAUGGUUAGGGAUAAUGAUUUUUCUGGAAAAAGAAACAUAUUGAUUGAAAUUUGGGUUUUCAAUUUUCAAUUUUUGAGAUGUACAUGAUGUUAAGUUUCAGAAUGAAAUGGAGAGAGGAAGAGAAAAGAUUGAGAAUAGAAAGCUGAUAUGGGUAGAGAGAGGUGGAAGCCAAGGAUGAUGUUUCUAGAGAGAGAGAGGAUUGUUGAGAAAUGGGAAAAAUGGCUUUUAUAUCGAGCCUAUACGGUCAAACACUAGGUAAAUAAAUAAAUAAAUAUAUUGUAUCGGUUGGAUGUGGGUAUCCAUGGGUGGAUUUCUCCCAUCCGAAACCGCCCGUAAUUACUCAUUCAUAACCGUCUUUGCCAAUCCGAUUGAACCGUAUAACCCGAAAUAACCCACCCGCUUGCAUGCGGGCCUUAUGGGUCGGCCGGUUUGGGCCGGUUGCACAAAUCUUGUCCAGCCCUACAUCAUACCCCAACCAAACCCUUUACAACCAUAAUGAGAGUCUUCCAAAUAAAAUGAUACUCGAUUUAAAAGAAAUAAUAUCCCUGUCAACCAAUCAAUUAUGUUGCUCUUUGGAAACUUAUUCAGUUCCAAAUCACCAAAAUUCCACACUUGUACUCUAUUAUUCUCACGCAUUGUCAGCGAUAUACCCAACUGUACAAAUGGUGUUACUGUCAUUUUGCUCUUAAAAACUACAUCCCAUCUCAACAACUUCUAAUUUGCCAAAAAGCUUAAAAUCUGAUAUUUUUAUAUUUGAGCAACCAUUUGAUAACAACUUCUAUGACAACCUCCUUUUUUCCUCUUCUUAUUGGUCAAAGACAAUGCAGAGAGAAAAAGGAAUAGAGAGUAAGAAUAUAAUGUAAGUAUGAGAGAGAAAGUUGUCUGAAAGUUGUCAAAAAAAUAGUUAUACAAAUAUCAUUUCUCUUUUUAUAUUGACGGAUUCCACAAAACAACACGAUUAACUAAACAAACUAUUUUGUACCAAAAAAAAACUAAACAAACUAUUCCAUUACAACAUCAAAUUAACCUAUAAUAGGUCUUUAUCUGCAGUCAAUUAUUGUCAUUCAUGCCAAAGAUUUUUAAAAAAUUCACAUAUUAGAAUUUUAAAGUAUCUUAUAUAUUAUAGAAACAAUUUGUUAUAUAUUUGCUGAAUCUAAAAGGUGUUAGUAUAUUCGAAUAAUAAAUUGAAUGAUAUAUUGGAGUAUUGAUGACAUAAUGACAAUGUAGCUAAGUUAGAGUAUUCAUGAUAAAUUGAAUAAUUGAGUUUUUUUGUCGAAAUAACAAGUAUCAAGCAACCACUAUAUUAUUAAUAUUGAAAUCGUAUUACUUAUUUAAAAAUAAUAUUGAGAUCACAUCAUAGAAAUCCAACAAAUUAUUUCGAUGGUAAAUAGUGAUGAAAAAGUCACUGCCCAUCCCAUCUGAAGGAAGGCGCCAAUCACUGUGCCUUGGAGGAAGUCACUGUCCCAUUGGUGGAAGGGCCUUCAGGGCCAGUGCCUUUGGUCGAUUCGUCGAAUAUAGUGCUGACUUCAGUCGUCAUCAGAUUUUGGGGUCUACGAUAGUGAUCAAGAUCAAGAAUGGUCAAGAAGAUAUGAAGCAAGAAAGAAAGAUAGAUGUAAUUGCAAGAAAGAUAUAAACGAUAUAAUGACGUUUUUAUCUAAAAAUAUUAGGUUUAUUGAUCUCUUGCUAUUGUUUUAACAUUUGCUUGUUGACUCAAUCUGAUACUUUUAUCUAACACUACACAAAUAUAUGACACGUCACAUGAAAGGUAACCAUUGAAUUCAACUUGCGGUAAAAAAAAAUAUAUUGUAUGUAAUGAACAUAAGCAGGAAAAACUUUUAUAUUUAAUCAAAAUAUGUAUUUAUGGCUAGUAACUGUAACAACAAUGUUCAAAACUUCAUAUUGGAUAAAGAGUUUAUAACUAAAGACAUUUUACAAUGAAGUAAGUUGAGUUCCCAAAAACGGAUCACAACGAAGACACGAGCAAAAAAACGAAAAACAAAAUGGAAGAGAUUGAUCCCACUGAAUCAAGUCCCUAAAAAAGCGUAAGGAUAGACGCAAAUCAACUUUUCAUGGCCAAGUGUUUGGCGAUUGGGACGUGUCUCUUUCAAAAUGGUGUGUCUUUCGACAUGUAACUAACAUGGCACAAGUUGUAACAAAAAAAAAAAAAAAAAAACUAACAUGUCACACGCUUCAACUUUUGUUGUAUAUUGCACCUUAGUAGGGUCAUGACUCAUGAGUACCCACGCUUCAACAUAUCAUGAGUUGUAACACACAUUUCUCAUGCGUCUUUCAAAACACACAUUUCUCAUGUCAGCAACGUGUAUUUUGGGAGUAAUCCUCUUUAUUUAGAAUUUUUUACAUUUUUCCAUUCAAAGAUACCAAAAACACAAUAAAAGUUAAAAUAAUUAAUGAUUGUAGGAUUUUUUAAUGAUAGGAUUUACCAUUUAUUUUUUAUAUAUAUAUCUUUCUCAUAAUGACAAUCUUCAUUUAUUUUUAUAAAUGGAGAGGCUCAUUACUUGUGUUUUGGUGUGAUAGUAAUUUUAGAUUCUUUUUAGUUAAUUAAAGGCUAAAUUACAUCAAGGGUUCUUUAAGUUUGAGAUUUGUAGUAGAUUGAUCAUUUAAGUUAUUUUGCUCACAAAUAAGUUUUUAAGUUUGAGGUAUGUACCAGAUUGUCAUUUAAGUUAUUUUGGUCGCACAUAAGUCAUUUAAGUUUGUAAACGCUUUCGAUUUAGUCCUUCUGUCACAUCAUCGUUUUUGUAAUGUUUGGUUAAUUACAUAAUGACUAAAUAGAAAAUGUUUACAAACUUAAAUGAUUUAUGUGUGACCAAAAUAACUUAAAUGAUCAAUCUAUUACAAACCUCAAACUUAAACGACCGUUGGCGUAAUUUAGCCUUAAUUAAAUAAAUUUGACAAAACUAACAUUCUAGUUAAAGUUGAUUUGAAUAAUGGUAAGCUUAGUUUUUUUUUCAAAUAAAAAAGUGUACACAUGUUAAUUUACACCUUCUUAUUUUUAGGUAGGUGUAAAUUAACGGUCAUUUAUAAACUUAAAAACAAUGGAGGUAUACCCCUUGAGCCAUAAACACGGCUCCACCCUACUUUUAUCUAAUGGAAUAGUCUUUUAAAUUGAGCUAUUCAUGCAUGCUUAAGGGUCUGUUUAUUAUAGAUUUUAAAAAAUGUAAUAUCAAAUACAUUUGACAUAAGUUAAAACGGAGAUUUUAACAUUCACUAACUUAAAUAUUCAUUGUUAGAUAUUUUACAUAGUAAAAAUCACUUCUUCUUUUUUUAAAUGACAUGUUUCUAAAAUGAUUUUUAUGAAAAGCUAUUUAAAAUAGUUUUUUUUUCAGAUAUUUUUUCAAAAAUUAUAACACAAUGAUGAAAUACAUAUAAUUUCAUUUUAAGAUAAACUAUUCAAGUCAACCAUAACACUACUUCCAUUGUUCGUUUGAGUUUGGGAUUCUUUUUCCAUCUGCCCCUUGUGUGAAAUGUAUAUACCAAUCUGUCCCAUUUUAAAUUUUAAAUACCAAACUGUCCUAGGUUGGGUUUGCCCUUGAAGUUCGGUUGGCAUCCAUAUUUGUAUCAACCUUCUCCACCAGAGUAAGGACGAGGGAUGUCCAUUUUUCCAUAGAAGCAAGAUUUUCUUCAAAUUUUGACAAUUAUCUUCUACAUCAGAAUCAAAUUAGGUGAAGACUUUCAUAUACCAAGAAUAGUUUAUGAAAUAUUAUCCAUUAAUCUGUUUCUCUAGCUAACAACUGCACCAUGGUUUUUUAUUUAUUCUUCUUAACUGCGCAAUAUUAAUUGACGUAUUGUAUUUGUAUGCAUGUGGUAGGUGGCAACUAACAUGAAAAUCAAUUGUAUAGUAUCAUGUCUUUUUUUCCAUACCAAAAAUAGUAUACCACUAUCAUGUUAGAAGUUAGAACACGUAGAAAAAAAAUAAUAAUAUAUCCAUACAAGGAACACAUAGUUUCGGUUGACGGCAUAUUUGACCACUAUAGUCAUGCCGUCCCACAAUGAAUAACAUAUAUGUAAAAAAAAAUGUUUUAAAAUUGUUAUAUUAACUUGUUUAUUUUCAAUUGCAGUUAAAUUAAAAGUGGAGUUCCAUUGAAUUUGAGUCAUCAUUGACUUGGUCAGCCACCUCAAAACUACAGUUGCAGUGUUGGCCCACCUCUAUGUGUGAUUCAGUCCACCAUGUGUGAUUCACACUUAAGUCUAUUUUUUAAUUUUUAGUAAAAAAAAAACAAAAAAGUGAAAAAAUAUAGAUCAAAGUAUAACUUAUCAAUCCUUCAAAAAAAAAAAAAACUUAUUAAUGGAUGAUCAAUUUCAUCAACGCAAAUAAUUUGGACGAGAUGGAAAUACGUCAUCACUUUCGUUAAAGGCUCACUCCCAUUAUCUCAUACUAGUAGGCAUUAUUAUGUUCUCAUUUAUUGAGCUGGUUGAGAUAUAUGGUCACUAUUUUAUUUUAAAACAUAAUACAUGAGUUUUUAUAAUGGCAAAUCAUAUCAUAUAAAAAAGUGAGUACAAGUCUAUUCAAUCCAUUACAAAGAUAAAGAGAAAGUUAGGCAAGACAUAAUAACAUCGAAGAUAAGAAUUAUUAGGAAGAACUAGAGAAGAAUUAUAAAACUAUCCCAAAAGUUGUAGGGAAUUGAAUUCACAAGUCACAACUAGGGAUGUACAAAGGACCUAAGUCGAAUUUUGUGUGUUUUUCGCCCUAGCCUCUAUAAUAUUAAACAUGACCAAUUUUUUAAUUUUAAACUUAAACCCGACUCUUAACCUGAUAAAAUUUGGUCAGACGUUACAAAGACAACCGAUUGAUCCCAAGAAGAGCCGACAAAUAGUAGUAAUACAUAAAGUUAUUUUAUCGAAAAACAAAAUUAAUCAAAAAGUAACUCAUGGUAAUACAACUAUUAAACAAAAAUAAUCAACAAGAGACCAAACUUUUGUUACUUGACAAUAGGAAUAUAAUCUGAUCAGAAUCAACCACAUAACAAUCUGAACAAUCAAAAUAAGGGACGGAUGCAUGUGUGUUGUGGGGUGGGAUUGUGCCUACACAAAAUAUUUUAAAUUUUUAUUUUUAAGUAGAAUAAUAUAGUAAUGGUUGAUAUUUAAACAUUCUCGUGAGCUUAGAUUAGUUGGUAGAGAUAAUGUAUAAAAUAUGCAAGAUAUCCGACCACUACCAAAAAAAGUUGACAUUUAGACCAAAUAACCUACACUUAUAACACAACAUCAAAAUAAAUCAUAUAUAUAUAUAUAUAUAUAUAUAUAUAUAUAUAUAUAUAUAUAUAUAUAUAAAUACAAUAGGAACAACAAUAAUCUCAAAAUUUAAGUUCAAACUUCAACAAAUUCUUGAAAGUUUGAGAAUCAUUGGCUAAGUGUUAAACUUUUUAUUUUGCCAGAUUAAAAAUUUGACUUGUAAGAAAAUAUGAGUCAAAAAUGAUAUAACACUCUUGUCCUAAAUAAUAUUUAGGACGGGAUGAGUAACUGAGGAUAAAUACAAUAGAAAUAACAAUAAUCUCAAAAUUUUACUUUCAAACUUCAACAAAUUCGUGAAAGUUUGGGAAUCAUUGGCUAAGUGUUAGAUUAUUUUUUUUUGCCAAAUAAAAAAAUUGACUCAUAAGAAAAUAUGAGUAAAAAAUAAUAUAAUACUCUUGUCCUAAAUAAUGUUUGGGACGGGAUGUUGGUAACAUGAGAAUAAACAACUCGGACACAAUCUCUUCUUUAGUAUUGGUUUAUGUAUUUUCCCCAUCUUUUGUCAGGUUGGAUUCGAUUCAAACCCGACCAGAAGCCAAUGGAUCGGGCUCAGCUAAACAGUGGCGGAUCUUGAGUUAAAUUGUUGGGGGUGCCAAACAUAUAUGAAAUAUAUAUUAAAUGGUUUCAAGAAAUAUCAAUUAUUAAUAACCGUUUUAGUGGUAUGAAUCAAUUCAAAGUAGCAAUGGAAUAGGGGUUUGAAUCCCCUCAUAAGCUUUUUUUUUAAUACAAUAUUUAAAAUUAGAAGAUAAAAUGUAAAAAAGGAAACAUGGAUGUCUCAUACUCGUGACAUUUAGGAUUUUAUGGCACCUCCUUUCCACUUAACCAGCCGAAUUUUAAUGAUAAAAUACAACUAAUAUUGUAUAUAAGGAAAACCUGGGGGAUGCCGUGGCCCUCGCCGGUCCCUUAGAAGAUCCGCCACUGCAGCUAAAUGACUAGGUCGAGUUUUGUAUACCCUAUCCAACCCAUUGAUGGAAAGUACUAGGAGAUCCCGAUGACUUACCUGAAAAUCACUCUCGAAAAGAGAAUAUGAAAUGAUUUACUAAUUGCUCACCGUCAUAUUUAACAAUAUGAACAUCAUUUUGACACUUUGAGAUCAACUUCACCGUUGAAUGUCAAACUAGCCGAAUGCCGUUUGAAGUAAGAGCAAACUCCAAAGAAGUAAAAGGCUGAAAAAACCAAACAAGCUCGUUGUGAUUACAAUUAGACCCUAUAGCACCAAUUAACCUUUCAAUAUCUAGUAUAAACGUACACCUAAAAAUAUUUUGACGAGUUGUAAGGAGAAAUCACUUGGAUGAUGAUUGUUUAGUAUGAAUUUAUAUUUUUUUAAUGAAAUAAGUAUUGGUAUAUUUUUUGGCGACAAAAUUAGUAAUAGUAUACUUUUUUUUAAAUGAACAUGUAUUAGUUUUAGUACCCCUCAAGAAAAAAGUAUUAGUAUUAGUUUGUUUUUUUUUUAUCAAAGUUUAGUAAUUAGUAUACUAUAUUGACAAAAUAUUUUGACAAAAUUUGUAAUUAAGCCUACUAUAUAAACGAUAGGAUUGGGUUGACCGAUAUUUUGAGUUGAAUUUGGAGUCAUGGUCAUGCAUGGUUGCUGCUGCUUCCACUAUAUUUCUCACCAACUAACUAAUCUUAGUUUUAGUCCAAUUCCAUCCACACAUGCAUCUACCAACCAAGCAAGACACAAUCCUAUGGUGCCAAGCUGCAAAAUCAUAAACGCUCAAUAAUAAGUAUAAUCAAACGGCCAUAAUUAAUUUUCAACAAACCCACUUUUUAUUCAACUUGUGCAUUGUCCAUCCCCACCUACCAAACACACCAACACACAUGCAAGAGAUAACAUAUUAGAAUAAUAAUGUAGCCUCCAAAACAAACCUCUAUAUAAAGCUCAAUUACUUCCUUCUCAUCUCAGGAAAUUCACAACUCUAAUAUUAUUCCUUUAUUUCAUAAUUAUUUGAAUUUCCAUUCUCUCUAAAUUCUAGCUACCACCACUCAACAAAUUAAGCAACAUUAAUUACUAUUAGUAUCAAUAUAAGAUCAUGGAAACAAUAUCAGCAGCUAUCACAAAAAACAGUGCCAAUGAAUCAUUCUGUUUGAUUCAUGCUAAGAAUAAUAACAUGAAAGUGAAUGAAGCUGAUCCUUUGAAUUGGGGUGUGGCAGCUGAAGCAAUGAAAGGCAGUCACAUAGAUGAAGUGAAACGUAUGGUGGAGGAGUACCGGAAGCCGGUGGUCCGUCUUGGUGGCGAAACACUGACCAUUUCUCAGGUGGCUGCCAUUGCUGCACAUGACCAUGGUGUGCAGGUGGAGCUGUCAGAAUCUGCUAGGGCUGGUGUUGAGGCCAGCAGUGAUUGGGUGAUGGAGAGUAUGAACAAAGGAACAGACAGUUACGGUGUCACCACCGGAUUCGGCGCCACCUCACACCGCCGUACCAAACAAGGUGGUGCUUUGCAGAAAGAACUCAUCAGGUAAUACACUACUUUCAUUCUUUCUUUUUCCAUUUUGAUAUAAUUAUUUUCAUGGAUGUUCAGUUCAUAAGAAUGUAUUAUAGCUUUGAUUUAAUUAAAAUUAUUAACAUGACUUUAAAAUUAAAUUAUUAUGCAUUUCAUAUAUUUAAUUAACAAAUUUAAUUAAUAUAAAUUGGAUUUUAAAAAAACUUGUCCUUUAAUCUCGUCUAUUAAUUAUUUUAGGAGUACAUUUGCUAAUUGUAACUUUUAAUCUGUUAAUAAAUGUUAAAGGUGUAACUUGUCAACAUAUAUCUUUAAUAUUAAAACAAAUGGUAGGGUAUUCUAAACCACUCACUUUACUUCCGUUUUUUUUAAUAUUAAUAUAAAAGUGAAACUUGUUAAGUUACUUCUUUUAAAAAUUCUGAAAGUAUUUCAGUAACUUUUUUUAUUUGCCUAAAGAAACUUACUUUUUUAUAAGAGUGGCUUCUCAUUUAUUUUAGUCUAAUUAUAUCUUUUUUAAAUUAGAAACAUUUAAUGCGUGACUUUUUAAAAGUGUGUACAUAAAUUCAAAUAAUAAUGCUAAAAUGAAAGUAAUAGUAAUUUACAUGAUGUCAUAAUAUAGGUGUUGGUUUCUUCGAAUAUGUUGAAAGUUUUUUUUUUCUAUAAACAAAAUAUAUUUUUUAAGCAAAUGAUAAUAAUGGGAUACUCCGACCCAUUAAAAAAAAUAUUACAUAAUGCAAAUCAGGUCAGAGAAAAUAUAUAUAUAUAUAUAUAUAUCUUAAAAAGUGUAAUUUUAUUUUAUAGAGAUUAAAAACAAAAUUUUAAAUAUUUACAGAAUUAACCCUUUUUUUUUAUUACAUUGCUUUUAUAGGAGACUAAACUAGAAUGCUUAAACAGAAAGAUGAGUUACAGCAAUUGUUUUUAACUUAUAAACAAACCAAUUAUAAAAAUACUCUUGUUCAAAAAUUUAUUUAUAUAAAGAGUAAUGAUACAUAGACACUCUUAGGUGGCAAUACACUCUUUGAUACCCACACAAAAAUCUGACACGUAGUCACGUGGAUCCCGUACAAGCACACUUUCUCUUUUCUCUCAUCUUCUCUCUUCCUAAUGCAUGGGGUGUACAAGGGUGUAUGAAAAUAAUGGGUGUCUAUGUAUCAUUACUCUUAUAUAAAAUACUUGAAAUUAUAUGAUUUUUUUUAGCAAAUCCUUCUUGUUCUUGUCAGUGUCUGUUUUAUGGUUAAGAAACAACAUUAAACAAAAUUUCCUAAUACUUAUUCUACUUACUUCUUGUUUUCCAGGUUUUUGAAUGCAGGAAUAUUCGGAAAUGGAACAGAGUCAAAUCACACACUACCACACACGGCAACAAGAGCAGCCAUGCUAGUGAGAAUCAACACACUCCUCCAAGGCUAUUCAGGAAUUAGAUUUGAAAUCUUGGAAGCCAUCACUAAGCUCCUUAACAACAACGUCACUCCAUGUUUACCACUUCGCGGUACAAUCACAGCUUCAGGAGAUUUGGUCCCUCUAUCUUACAUUGCUGGUUUACUAACAGGAAGACCAAAUUCAAAAGCUCAUGGACCAUCUGGAGAAAUACUUAAUGCAAAAGAAGCUUUUAA
RNAcentral lists this long non-coding RNA (15376 nucleotides) under Medicago truncatula (barrel medic). RNAcentral's name for it is "long non-coding RNA (MTRU_LNC005598)". Lineage: Eukaryota; Viridiplantae; Streptophyta; Magnoliopsida; Fabales; Fabaceae. The record is from RNAcentral.